AUUGAACGCUGGCGGCAUGCCUUACACAUGCAAGUCGAACGGCAGCACGGGUGCUUGCACCUGGUGGCGAGUGGCGAACGGGUGAGUAAUACAUCGGAACAUGUCCUGUAGUGGGGGAUAGCCCGGCGAAAGCCGGAUUAAUACCGCAUACGAUCUACGGAUGAAAGCGGGGGACCUUCGGGCCUCGCGCUAUAGGGUUGGCCGAUGGCUGAUUAGCUAGUUGGUGGGGUAAAGGCCUACCAAGGCGACGAUCAGUAGCUGGUCUGAGAGGACGACCAGCCACACUGGGACUGAGACACGGCCCAGACUCCUACGGGAGGCGGCAGUGGGGAAUUUUGGACAAUGGGCGAAAGCCUGAUCCAGCAAUGCCGCGUGUGUGAAGAAGGCCUUCGGGUUGUAAAGCACUUUUGUCCGGAAUGAAAUCCUUGGCCCUAAUACGGUCGGGGGAUGACGGUACCGGAAGAAUAAGCACCGGCUAACUACGUG
Molecule: ribosomal RNA, 486 nt
Filed under: uncultured bacterium
Lineage: Bacteria
Description: partial 16S ribosomal RNA
Rfam family: Bacterial small subunit ribosomal RNA
Source: RNAcentral